This 203-nucleotide long non-coding RNA is filed under the name Mytilus galloprovincialis (Mediterranean mussel). Lineage: Eukaryota; Metazoa; Mollusca; Bivalvia; Mytilida; Mytilidae. The record is from RNAcentral.
GCUUGUGAUACCCUCGGGGAAAUAAAUCUCCACCAGCAGUGGCAUCGACCCAGUGGUUGUAAAUAAACUCAUCAAAGAUACCAGGACUAAAUUUUAUAUAUACGCCAGACGCGCGUUUCGUCUACAAAAGACUCAUCAGUGACGCUCGAAUCCAAAAAAGAUAAAAAUGCCAAAUAAAGUACGAAGUUGAAGAGCAUUGAGAU